CACCUUCUACUCAGUGGUCUGCUCUACCCUGGACUACAGGCUCUGGAUGAGGAGUAUCUGAAAGUAGAUGCCCAGUUUUGAGGAGUCGAUGAGGAAGAUCUUCACCCUGGCUGAGAAGUACCUGCCCUCCCUGGGCUAUGCUGGGCGGUCCCAUCUGAUGAACCCCAUGGUACCAGGACUGACUGGAGCCAAGAUGA
Oncorhynchus masou masou (cherry salmon) is the source of this 197-nucleotide long non-coding RNA. RefSeq lists it as uncharacterized. The record is from RefSeq and is a predicted model, not a curated record. Lineage: Eukaryota; Metazoa; Chordata; Actinopteri; Salmoniformes; Salmonidae. The transcript has 3 exons.